RNAcentral lists this long non-coding RNA (858 nucleotides) under Cricetulus griseus (Chinese hamster). Its description in RNAcentral is "lncRNA (ENSCGRG00015029550.1)". Lineage: Eukaryota; Metazoa; Chordata; Mammalia; Rodentia; Cricetidae. The record is from RNAcentral.
UGUUACCAGGGCAUCCCAGAUUCUCUUCUCAUUAAUAACAAAAGAGUUUAAAAAUGGACCCAGAAGGGAGCUCAAGGGCAGCUUUACAUAUGUUUGAGAGGAAAAAAGAAAAGCAGCAGGAAGAAGAAGGGACAAAGAGAGACAGGCCAGCUGCUGGCCCCACACCAUUUCCUCCAAGAAAACUGGUGGUCACUGAAGAAACUCCAGCCACAAAAAUGGCAACACUAGUCACUGAGCAACCCUGCCCUUCACCUCAACUGCUGCAAAGGACUCUUUGGACCAUGGACAAGAGGACAGUGGAAUCAACUUUCCCCGAGUUGCUUGGGUCAACGGUCUAAGAGGUGCCUGAGUUUCAUACAGCCUGGACGUCGAUGGAGCAACCAGCUACCCCAGGAAGCCCAGGAAGUGGCAGCACCCCAGCUUUCUCAGGUCCCCCAAAGGUGGUCAACGCCCUCCAGGUCAGCAGGAAGCAGUCUUGAGAACUCAACAUCCUUAUUCCCUAAACUGCCACGUCUAACACCCCACUUUUUAACUAAUAAGUAAAGGUGGGAAUGAAAGGUUCGGGCAUUAAUGCCGACCUGCCUGUACCUCUUAAGAGACAGACCCCGCCCCCUGACAACGGGUGGGGCAUGCACAGUGAUAUGCCACAUCGUUGCCACAUCACUGGUUACAGAUAUUUGUGAGGACUCUGCAAGCCUGAAGCCUCAGUGCACAUCCUCGGCUUUCCCUUUAAUACCUGUCUCUCUCCUCUGGCUCCCCCUUUCUGGUGGUCGACCACUAACUCUUCUCUUUACUCUCUUACCUCCUUCCUCCCUGCUCUCUGCUCGCUCUCUCUCUCUCUUCCGUGUCUCUCUCGUC